This 253-nucleotide ribosomal RNA is filed under the name uncultured bacterium. Its description in RNAcentral is "partial 16S ribosomal RNA". It matches the Rfam family "Bacterial small subunit ribosomal RNA", at positions 524 to 776 of the family's 1533-position model. The record is from RNAcentral.
UACGUAGGUGGCAAGCGUUGUCCGGAUUUAUUGGGUUUAAAGGGUGCGUAGGCGGUCCUGUAAGUCAGUUGUGAAAUACGGUAGCUUAACUGUCGAGGUGCAAUUGAUACUGCGGGACUAGAGUACUGAUGAGGUAAGCGGAAUGGACGGUGUAGCGGUGAAAUGCUUAGAUAUCGUCCAGAACACCGAUAGCGAAGGCAGCUUACUAAGGAGUAACUGACGCUGAGGCACGAAAGUGUGGGGAUCAAACAGG